GAUGAACGCUGGCGGCGUACCUAAUACAUGCAAGUCGAGCGAACAGACGAGGAGCUUGCUCCUCUGACGUUAGCGGCGGACGGGUGAGUAACACGUGGAUAACCUACCUAUAAGACUGGGAUAACUUCGGGAAACCGGAGCUAAUACCGGAUAAUAUAUUGAACCGCAUGGUUCAAUAGUGAAAGACGGUUUUGCAGUCACUUAUAGAUGGAUCCGCGCCGCAUUAGCUAGUUGGUAAGGUAACGGCUUACCAAGGCAACGAUGCGUAGCCGACCUGAGAGGGUGAUCGGCCACACUGGAACUGAGACACGGUCCAGACUCCUACGGGAGGCAGCAGUAGGGAAUCUUCCGCAAUGGGCGAAAGCCUGACGGAGCAACGCCGCGUGAGUGAUGAAGGUCUUCGGAUCGUAAAACUCUGUUAUUAGGGAAGAACAAAUGUGUAAGUAACUAUGCACGUCUUGACGGUACCUAAUCAGAAAGCCACGGCUAACUACGUG
Molecule: ribosomal RNA, 497 nt
Filed under: uncultured bacterium
Lineage: Bacteria
Description: partial 16S ribosomal RNA
Rfam family: Bacterial small subunit ribosomal RNA
Source: RNAcentral